GAUCUGAGGAUUUCUAUUCACCUCGUGCUGCUCCAGAUAUAAAUGUGCAUGGUUAGGGGAACAAUCCAUCAGACCUCAAGCAACAAACCAAAAGAGGACAGCAUUUCUCAGGAAAGCAGUGACAUGUGGAGGCCAGAGAAGCAAACUCGUAAGCAGGGAGGAAAAAGGACUCUUCACAGAUCCUGAUCUUAGCAGGGGUGUUUUCCAAAGAUGAAACUGCCUUCAAAAACAAUGUCACUGAACUGGCAGGAUCAGCCAACUACACCAGCCACAGAAAAAGAAACUACAGAGGAAUGAGAUACAGUGGAGUUCUUCACUUACUAGAGAGGAGAGUGGAAGCAGAGGUCCAGGUGUCCAACAAAAAACACCAAUAGAGAAGUUGUAGGCUUCAGAGCAAGAAGGCUGUGUCACUGAUUAAAGCAUCAGAGCUGCCAAAGGAGACUGUGAACAGCUCUCAGCAAAAGAAAUCAGAAGCAGAGCAGCAGGUGACAAUGAAACAGCUGGGGGUGCCCAAGGCCUUGGUUAAAGGAAAUGAUCCAGCACUGUUCAUGAACUCCAAAAGAGCCAGAGAGGCAUGAGAUGAAGAUGCAGAGAUCGUUGAGGAUAAACUCUAAAGAACAGAAGAUGGUCAGGCAUCAAGGCAGGAGGAAUUAGGCUGAGCAGCUGAAGAAGGAGUGGAUGGCGACCAAGAGAAAACAGAAAGGAGGGCAGGUCAAAGGAAAUCUUGUUGGCAGAUGAAGAGCAGGACACAAUCAAAACCAGCACUGAGCUGCUUUGCCAGAGUACUGCAAACCAAAAGGGUUGUUUCAAGACAGGACUCUUGACAGGCAGUGUUGUAAUUCCAGUUAGUCAACCGCCCCAGCUGCUGGUAAGUGGCUGCCAGGCACAACGUCAGAGUGUGCAGCAAUGAGCUGAGUUCAUGUCACUAAAAUCAAAUAAAAUCUGAUUUUAUUACA
Molecule: long non-coding RNA, 956 nt
Organism: Oxyura jamaicensis (ruddy duck)
Lineage: Eukaryota; Metazoa; Chordata; Aves; Anseriformes; Anatidae
Exons: 3
Source: RefSeq, a predicted model, not a curated record